This 879-nucleotide ribosomal RNA is filed under the name Alternaria burnsii. Its description in RNAcentral is "partial large subunit ribosomal RNA". It matches the Rfam family "Eukaryotic large subunit ribosomal RNA", at positions 48 to 945 of the family's 3401-position model. The record is from RNAcentral. Lineage: Eukaryota; Fungi; Ascomycota; Dothideomycetes; Pleosporales; Pleosporaceae.
AUAGCGAGGAAAAGAACCCAACAGGGAUUGCCCUAGUAACGGCGAGUGAAGCGGCAACAGCUCAAAUUUGAAAUCUGGCUCUUUUAGAGUCCGAGUUGUAAUUUGCAGAGGGCGCUUUGGCUUUGGCAGCGGUCCAAGUUCCUUGGAACAGGACGUCACAGAGGGUGAGAAUCCCGUACGUGGUCGCUGGCUAUUGCCGUGUAAAGCCCCUUCGACGAGUCGAGUUGUUUGGGAAUGCAGCUCUAAAUGGGAGGUACAUUUCUUCUAAAGCUAAAUAUUGGCCAGAGACCGAUAGCGCACAAGUAGAGUGAUCGAAAGAUGAAAAGCACUUUGGAAAGAGAGUCAAACAGCACGUGAAAUUGUUGAAAGGGAAGCGCUUGCAGCCAGACUUGCUUACAGUUGCUCAUCCGGGUUCUUACCCGGUGCACUCUUCUGUAGGCAGGCCAGCAUCAGUUUGGGCGGUAGGAUAAAGGUCUCUGUCACGUACCUCCUUUCGGGGAGGCCUUAUAGGGGAGACGACAUACUACCAGCCUGGACUGAGGUCCGCGCAUCUGCUAGGAUGCUGGCGUAAUGGCUGUAAGCGGCCCGUCUUGAAACACGGACCAAGGAGUCUAACAUCUAUGCGAGUGUUUGGGUGUCAAGCCCGAGCGCGUAAUGAAAGUGAACGGAGGUGGGAACCCGCAAGGGUGCACCAUCGACCGAUCCUGAUGUCUUCGGAAGGAUUUGAGUAAGAGCAUGGCUGUUGGGACCCGAAAGAUGGUGAACUAUGCUUGAAUAGGGUGAAGCCAGAGGAAACUCUGGUGGAGGCUCGCAGCGGUUCUGACGUGCAAAUCGAUCGUCAAAUUUGGGCAUAGGGGCGAAAGACUAAUCGAACUAUCU